This 253-nucleotide ribosomal RNA is filed under the name uncultured bacterium. RNAcentral describes it as "partial 16S ribosomal RNA". It matches the Rfam family "Bacterial small subunit ribosomal RNA", at positions 524 to 776 of the family's 1533-position model. The record is from RNAcentral.
UACGUAGGGUGCAAGCGUUGUCCGGAAUUAUUGGGCGUAAAGAGCUCGUAGGCGGUUUGUCGCGUCGGCUGUGAAAACUCGGGGCUCAACCCCGAGCCUGCAGUCGAUACGGGCAGACUAGAGUGCGGUAGGGGAGACUGGAAUUCCUGGUGUAGCGGUGAAAUGCGCAGAUAUCAGGAGGAACACCGGUGGCGAAGGCGGGUCUCUGGACAGUUCCUGACGCUGAGGCACGAAGGCCAGGGGAGCAAACGGG